This 510-nucleotide ribosomal RNA is filed under the name uncultured bacterium. RNAcentral describes it as "bacterial SSU rRNA". It matches the Rfam family "Bacterial small subunit ribosomal RNA", at positions 28 to 533 of the family's 1533-position model. The record is from RNAcentral.
GAUGAACGCUAGCGGCAGGCUUAAUACAUGCAAGUCGAGGGGCAGCGCGGGUAGCAAUACCUGGCGGCGACCGGCAAACGGGUGCGGAACACGUACGCAACCUUCCCAAAACUGGGGAAUAGCCCUCCGAAAGGAGGAUUAAUACCCCGUAACAUAACGAAGUGGCAUCACUUUGUUAUUAUAGUUCCGACGGUUUUGGAUGGGCGUGCGCCUGAUUAGGUAGUUGGCGGGGUAACGGCCCACCAAGCCUACGAUCAGUAACUGGUGUGAGAGCACGACCAGUCACACGGGCACUGAGACACGGGCCCGACUCCUACGGGAGGCAGCAGUAAGGAAUAUUGGUCAAUGGACGCAAGUCUGAACCAGCCAUGCCGCGUGAAGGAUGAAGGUCCUCUGGAUUGUAAACUUCUUUUAUAUGGGACGAAAAAGGGCAUUCUUGCUCACUUGACGGUACCAUAGGAAUAAGCACCGGCUAACUCCGUGCCAGCAGCCGCGGUAAGGUCGUCAUGU